RNAcentral lists this long non-coding RNA (321 nucleotides) under Daucus carota (carrot). RNAcentral describes it as "long non-coding RNA (DCAR_LNC007010)". Lineage: Eukaryota; Viridiplantae; Streptophyta; Magnoliopsida; Apiales; Apiaceae. The record is from RNAcentral.
GACUUGGAUAUUUCCGAUGUGACAGUGUUGAUGAACCAACUUGCUGACCAGAUUCUUAAGCUCGUAUCAAAUGUCGAGGUUCUUGCAGACAGACAUUUUUCUUUUACUUAGCUUGUGCUCUAGGUGCUAUGUAAACAUGUGGACUUGUGCAGUAUUUUAAAUCAUUUUGUAAUAUAGAUUAGAGCCAAGACCAAAGACCUUUUACAAAUUUUAUGUUAUCUUAGAUGUUGGAUUAAAGUUGCAAUUGUUUUGGUUGUAGCUAGAAUGAUAUCAGUGUUGAAAAUAUUAUUUGUUUUGGUUAGUAGAUAUUUAGUUUUACAA